This is a long non-coding RNA of Eurytemora carolleeae, 163 nucleotides long. RefSeq lists it as uncharacterized. NCBI's taxonomy places the organism in Eukaryota, Metazoa, Arthropoda, Copepoda, Calanoida, Temoridae. The record is from RefSeq and is a predicted model, not a curated record. The transcript has 2 exons.
UGAUUAAACAGCUGAUUCUCCCAUACGAAUUAAUUGCGUUGUAAUUCAGAAUUUUUGAAAAAAUCUGUUCUAGCUUCAAACAGAAUUAGUUAAACAAAGAAACAUCGAAGAAUAAGGAUGGGUGGGGUUCUAAGCCUUACCAGUCUGGCUUGCUGCUUUACUU